Molecule: ribosomal RNA, 429 nt
Filed under: uncultured bacterium
Lineage: Bacteria
Description: bacterial SSU rRNA
Rfam family: Bacterial small subunit ribosomal RNA
Source: RNAcentral
UGGGGAAUAUUGCACAAUGGGGGAAACCCUGAUGCAGCCAUGCCGCGUGUGUGAAGAAGGCCUUCGGGUUGUAAAGCACUUUCAGCUGUGAGGAAGGGUGAGUCGUUAAUAGCGGCUUAUCUUGACGUUAGCAGCAGAAGAAGCACCGGCUAACUCCGUGCCAGCAGCCGCGGUAAUACGGAGGGUGCGAGCGUUAAUCGGAAUUACUGGGCGUAAAGCGCAUGCAGGCGGUCUGUUAAGCAAGAUGUGAAAGCCCCGGGCUCAACCUGGGAAAGUCAUUUUGAACUGGCAGGCUAGAGUCUUGUAGAGGGGGGUAGAAUUUCAGGUGUAGCGGUGAAAUGCGUAGAGAUCUGAAGGAAUACCGGUGGCGAAGGCGGCCCCCUGGACAAAGACUGACGCUCAGAUGCGAAAGCGUGGGGAGCAAACAGG